AUGUGCUUUGAGUUCAGCUCGUGCUUCGGCGGCGGCAGGGACGACUACGGCGGCGAGCGGUCCAACCGCAACCGCAACGAGGCCGGCGGUCAUAGCCGGGGCCACAGAGGGAACAACAACAGGAACGGCUACUACGUCGGCGCCGACCACAAGGCGCCGCAGAGGACCUACCAGCAGCCGCCCGCCGCAGUGGACGAGGCCGGGCACAAGGCCUAUCACGACCACGCUGCCGCCGGUGCCCGCGGCGGUUACACCGCCUACACGCAAGCGCAACACAAGGCCGACAUCGAGACGCCCAAGCUUCCCGCGUGGCACAACAAGGUCAGCGACGAGGCCUACACGGCGCGCCUCCAAGAAGCUGCUGCUGAUCACAGGUACAACGCCGCCACGGAUUACCACCAUUACCCAACUAUCGCUCUCGGCAGGUACUAG
RNAcentral lists this ribosomal RNA (432 nucleotides) under Triticum aestivum (bread wheat). RNAcentral's name for it is "partial small subunit ribosomal RNA". Lineage: Eukaryota; Viridiplantae; Streptophyta; Magnoliopsida; Poales; Poaceae. The record is from RNAcentral.